GCGAAAACUUUACAAUGCUGGCAACAGCGAUAAGGGAACCUCGAGUGCCAGGUUACAAAUCUGGCUGUCGAGAUGCCUAAAAAGCAUUUCAUAGCAAGGGCCGGGCAAGACCGGUGCCAGCCGCCGCGGUAACACCGGCGGCUCGAGUGGUAACCGUUAUUAUUGGGUCUAAAGGGUCUGUAGCCGGCCGGAUAAGUCUCUUGAGAAAUCUGGCAGCUUAACUGUCAGGCUUUCAGGAGAUACUGUCUGGCUCGAGGCCGGGAGAGGUGAGAGGUACUUCAGGGGUAGGGGUGAAAUCUUGUAAUCCUUGAAGGACCACCAGUGGCGAAGGCGUCUCACCAGAGCGUACCUGACGGCAAGGGACGAAAGCUAGGGGCACGAACC
RNAcentral lists this ribosomal RNA (384 nucleotides) under uncultured prokaryote. RNAcentral's name for it is "bacterial SSU rRNA". It matches the Rfam family "Archaeal small subunit ribosomal RNA", at positions 341 to 725 of the family's 1478-position model. The record is from RNAcentral.